This 482-nucleotide ribosomal RNA is filed under the name uncultured bacterium. Its description in RNAcentral is "partial 16S ribosomal RNA". It matches the Rfam family "Bacterial small subunit ribosomal RNA", at positions 28 to 507 of the family's 1533-position model. The record is from RNAcentral.
GAUGAACGCUAGCGGCAGGCCUAAUACAUGCAAGUCGAACGAGAUUAAGAGGCUUGCUUCUUAUGAAAGUGGCGCACGGGUGCGUAACGCGUAUGCAACCUACCUUAAUCAGGGGGAUAGCCCGAAGAAAUUCGGAUUAAGACCGCAUAAAAACACAGGAUAGCAUUAUCCAAUGUUCAAAUAUUUAUAGGAUUAAGAUGGGCAUGCGUGUCAUUAGCUAGUUGGCGGGGUAACGGCCCACCAAGGCGACGAUGACUAGGGGAUCUGAGAGGAUGACCCCCCACACUGGUACUGAGACGCGGACCAGACUCCUACGGGAGGCAGCAGUAAGGAAUAUUGGUCAAUGGAGGGAACUCUGAACCAGCCAUGCCGCGUGCAGGAAGACAGCCCUCUGGGUCGUAAACUGCUUUUAUUCGGGAAUAAACCUUUCUACGUGUAGGAAGCUGAAUGUACCGAAGGAAUAAGGAUCGGCUAACUCCGUG